This is a long non-coding RNA of Marmota monax (woodchuck), 5073 nucleotides long. RefSeq lists it as uncharacterized. The transcript is spliced from 5 exons. Lineage: Eukaryota; Metazoa; Chordata; Mammalia; Rodentia; Sciuridae. The record is from RefSeq and is a predicted model, not a curated record.
UCCCCGGGCCAUCGCCACCUCCUCCGCCCCACUGCGCAUGCCCGCUUGCUCUCGCCUCCGCCCCCCCAAUCCCGGGACUCGAGCCGAUUUCCUCCAACACCUGGCACCUUCGGCCCCCUCCCUGGCUCUCUGCUGGGCUGAGCCCGCGGGCGCGCGCGACCCUGACGGCGAGAGUUCACGAAUAGAGUCUCCAGAAAAGGUUACCAAAACAAAUGAACAAAACCAAAGACAAAUAAAUGAAUAAGAAAACCAAAAAAAUCUAGAAUCACUGCAUGAGAGCUGCUGGGGAGUUAACAUGGGAACUCAGGUGUGUUCAUGUUUCUACUUCUGAAUGAUUAAGAAAUUGGCUGUGGUAGACUUGGAAAAAAUCUAUUAAGGUGCUCAUGCAAAUCAGCAGGUUACUGGAUGGCUGCGAAGCUCACACAGGUGGCUAAAGUUUAAGUUCAGAGAAGAUGAUAUUCUCAAUGGACUGGAGAGCAGAGGCAUUGGAGAUGAGGAUGAAGUUGUCGGUUUCAAGUUGGUCUUUGUUGAAAGUUUCUGAUGAGGAUUAAUUGAAAUACAGCUAAGGAGUGGUGGAUAAUUAUCAAUUCUAGUUCAAGACAAGUGACCCUGCAAAUUGGCUACUCUACCUCCCAAAAAAAGAAGACCCUGGAAAAAUGAACCUAUAAAGUCACAUCACUGAUAUGAACCAGAAGAUAUUUUCAGGGUGAUUAAUAAAUGAUAAAUAGCUGUACUCUCCUUGCUCUUGGGUAAUGCAAGACCAACACUGUAGUGAGAAAUAAGCACAAAGCCUUCAUUUUUUUAGUUUUCUUUUCCAAAGUAAACCACUUGAAGAAAUAGAUGUUCUAAAAGAUAUGCCACCUAUUUAGUUUGUUCAGGCUGUUACAACAAAAUACCACACACUGAUGUUUUAGUCAGCUUUUCACCACUAUUUUAGAGGAAGAACAAUUUUAGAGGAAGAAAAUUUAUUUGGCGCUCAUGGUUUAGAGGCCUCAGUCCAUAGAUGGGUGGCUCCAUUGCUCUGAGCCUAAGAUGAGGCAGAAUAUCAUGGCAUAAAAGCACAGCAGAGGAAAGCAGCUUGGGACAUGGGACCAGGAAGGAGGGAGAAAGAGAGAGUGUGUGUGUUCUGCUCACCAGGGACAAAAUAUAAACCCCAAAGCCAUGCACCCAGUAACUCACUUCCUCUAGCCAUACCAUACGGUGCCUACAGUUACCACUCAGGUAAUCCAUAUCAGUGAGUUAAUACACUGAUUAGGUUAAGGUUUUUAUAAAACAGUCAUUUCACUUCUAAACUUCCUUGUAUUGUCUCACAUGAGAGCUUUUGGGGAGACACCUCCUAUCCAAACCAUAACAGCUGGGUAAUUCAUAAAAACUUGAGAGUUGUUGACAGUUCUGGAGGCUGGAAAGUCCAAGAUUAAGGUGCCAGCAGAUCUGAUAUCUGAGGAGAGCUUGCUCUCUGCUUCGAAGACUGUGGCUUGUAGAUGUGUUCUCUCAUGAGGAAGGGUAAAAUGGCUUCUUCAAGUCUCUUUUACAAGGACACUGGUCUGAUUGAUUCAUGGGGCUGGAGUCCUCAUGUCUAAGGCCCAGUGCAACGAAUGAAUUUUGGAGGGACACAAAUAUACAGACCAUCGUACUCCACAAAUAAUUAGAGAGAGAAUUAGAAGAAAACAUAAAUGUACCAUUAAUUACUGUGGGAAACAAUUUUUUAAAGACAUUAAAGUUUCCUACAUGUAUACUCAACACAAAUUUUAUUCUGACUUGAUUAGUAAUCAUGACCUUAACCGGAUCUGAUGUUUCAGACUUACAAGUUCUCAGCAAAGACAGCUCAUCCUUACACUGUCCUCCUGGAAAAUAAAACCAUCUAUAAAAAUACAAAUAGUGCUUCAUAGUACACAUGAAAGUGAAAGAGACUUCAGGUAUUAUUUGUGAAGAAUCAUAGGUUUUUUAAAAUGAGCCUAAAUGGAAAGUAUACUGAAAUGGUGACAGAAUCAUCCACUGGUCCGUGUUCCCUUUGGAAAUGUUUUCCUCCUUCUAUUACAAAAUGUUCUAAGCCAACUUCCUCUCUUGUAACACAGAAAAAGUAAUAUAAUCUGUCUGCUUUUUAGAGGAGUUGCUUUUAGCACAUACAGCCCAGAUAUGUGAAAACGCUUUGAAAAAUGAAGUGAUGUAAGUGGAGUCAUUAUUCUUAGUAUUAAAAAUAAGGGAAGAGUGACAGUGUGGGAAAACAGGAAGGGUAAGAGCUUUAGAAUCAGCUAAUGUGAAGGCCAAAUAGCAAUUCUGCCUCUCCUUUCUUUGUGUGAUGGCAAGAAGUCCCCUUACCUUCCUUGAAUAACAACAACAACAAAAAUGUCAGGCUUUCUAUACUGAAGUUUCCAGUGUCUGUACAAUUGUGUGUGUGUGUGUGAAUAUGUGAAUGUGUAUGCAUCAAUAUGUAAGAGGAAGGCAGAUGUGAAAUUGCUGGACUUCAUGGUACAUUGAAUAGAAUCGUACUAUUUGUUAUGGUUUAUAUGUGAGGCGUUCCCCAAAGCUCAUGUGUGAGACAUUGUAGGAAAGUUUAGAGGUGGUAACUGUAGCAGGUAGGGUGUGGCUGGAGGAGGUAGGUCACUGGGGCCGUGCCUUUGGGGUUUUUAUUUUAUUCCUGGUAAGUAGAGAGCUCUCUCUCUCUGCUUACGGGUACUAUAUCCUGACCUGGUUUCCUCUGAGGCCACACCCUUCCACCAAGAUGUUCUGCCUCACCUUGGGCCUAGAACAAUAGAUUUUGUCAUCUAUGGAUUGAGGCCUCUGAAAUUGAGAUCGCCAAAUAAAGUUUUCCUCCCUAAAUUGCUCUUGUCAGGUCUUUUGGUCACAGUGAUGACUAAAACACCAUUUAACACAGAAGAUGCUAUAAAGAAAGUUUUCAUUUCUUAGGGCCAAGAAUAAAAUACUUUUGUGGAAGAAAGUUACAAUGAAUCAGGGAAGUGGGAAAAAAGGGUAAAAGAAAAUCUGGUAUGGGCUGAGUUUGGAUAGAAGUGAAACUGGAAAGAAGCUUCCAGAAGCCAGCUUGGAUACCUAGAGUUGGGCUCCCAGUACCUCAAUUGGAGGUAGAUCUCAGAGCAUGACACUCUUUGCCAAACAAAUCUCCAAACUAAGAGAAGAAAACAGGUAAAGUUCUAAUGACUUCUAGGACUCACUCCAGCAUCCAAGCAAAACCAUGCCUGAGACUAAUAAGUCCAUAAAGUGUAUUCCUGGAGUGUCUGUUAUUAAGCUGCUGUCUCUUGGCUUGCAGAAUCCCAAACCCAGCAUCAUAAGGAUUCUGCAAACUGCAUUCCUAUUUUGCCACCUGACUGUAGUAGAAUCUCUUUGCCAAAGUAGGACACUAGAAAGAAACUGGAAAAUUGAGGAGGAAUGAAAGAUGGCUCCUUUGGCUUCCCAUGGACUUUCUGUGUGUUGUCUUAUUCCUGUGCUUCUCACCCUAGCAAUGCUUCUUCACCAUGGCAGUGAUACUUCUUUCUUGUAACAUUAGUUAAAUGAAAUGUGGGUUGAGAUUUCUCUAAGACUUGUAGAUCCAAGUUUAGGAGACACCUGCACCAGCUAGCUAAUACCCCAUCCUCCUUGAGCUCAAGGGCCCAGAAUCAGCCACGUGGUGUGCCCUCCUUAAAGGAUGCUUCCACCACUUCUCUUCAACACCAUACUACAGAUCUUUGCCAUUGUGAUAAUGCAAAAAUAAAAAAGGAAAUUUAAAAACAUCAGGUAGGAAGAAGUACAAUGUUUUCUCUUUGCAGAUAACAUGAUUAUUUACAUAGAAAUUUCUAAGGAUUUUAUAAAGAAAAUGCUAGAACUAAUAAAUGAAAUUAUCAAUGUCACAGGAUCGAGCUUAGUACAGGUUGAGUGUCCCUAAUUAAAAAUCUUACAUCUGAAAUGCUCCAAACCCAAGCCUUUGUAAGAGCCAACAUAUCACAAGUGGAAAAUUCCACACCUGAUCUCAUGUGAUGGGUUUCAGUCAAAAUGUAGAUGUGUUGAAAAUACUACAUAAACAAAUACUCAGGCUAUGUGCAUAAGGUAUAAAUGAAACAUAUGAAUCUUGUGUUUAAACCCAGAUCCUAUCCCCAAGUUAUCUCAUUAUUUAUGUGCAAAUAUUCCAAAAACAAAACAAAACAAAAACACUCUGGUUCUAAGCAUUUUCAAUAAGGAAUACAGGAAACAAGGAAAUAAGCUACAAAUUAUAUUCCACAGCAUACAACAUGAAAAAGAAAAUUUUGAACUUCCGUAUAUAAAAGCAUAAAAAAUAUUAAACCCUGAGAAGAUAAGGUUCUGUCGUCCAGGGUUUAGUAUAUCAUUUCAAUCAGAGAACAAUGUACGCCAUUGUCUCUUCUGCAGCCAGAAUACAUGGGUCUGAGAAAGCACAGGUGGCACUGAGUGUAGCUCCUCUCAUAAUCACACCCAAUAAUCCACCCGCAGAGGUUUUGAAUCUAUCUCUGAUGCAUUUAGUUCUAAUGUUUGGAGGACUUUGUUCACAAGAGAAAAGUCCUUACAACAAUUGUUACAUGGGACUGGUGUUUGAGACUGCUACCAGGUCAUUCUAAGUUCUUCAUACCACUAACACAGAGGUGAAGAAGGAGGCCUAUUCUGCUGACUGAGUAGUGGAUUCUGUUUCCUAGAGGAAAUGAGAUCAAUGCCAGAAAAUAUAGGCGGGAAGGACUGUUUCUGGGACCCAAGGGAUUCUCUGAGACAAUUCUUACUACCUCCUUUUCCAACAGUAAAAAUUAACUGAAAAUGGCAGAAACUCAUAAAGGGAAGAACCACUGAAGAUUCAGACUUUUCACAUAAAGAACUCUGGCUGGCUAAAGGUUUGGCUGAUGGAAGAGGACACAUGGAAUGUGUAAUGGAAGGAGGAAGUUUUAAAUACCAGCCGCUGUCCUGUGACAGGUUGCAGAAAUAUGUCCUGCCACAGCUCCACGUAGUUACUAGUUGGCAGCUGCUCUUAUUCGUCUGUGUAUAUAUGUGUGUAUGUAUAUAAAUGAUCUAUUUUAUUAUUCUUAACUCUCUUUCCCUUAUUAUUUAACAUGUUUUAUUAAAGGUCAAUUCUAUAUUUUA